Long non-coding RNA from Diachasma alloeum, 757 nucleotides. RefSeq lists it as uncharacterized. Lineage: Eukaryota; Metazoa; Arthropoda; Insecta; Hymenoptera; Braconidae. The record is from RefSeq and is a predicted model, not a curated record. The transcript is spliced from 2 exons.
CUGUCGGUGUUCUUGAGUCACAGUCCAACCACGAACGAAAGGGAAAGCACUGCGAGAGCCGCUCAAAGUUUAAGAUAGACUAGUAUGAGCGCACCGUCAACGUGGAACAAUCACGCUUAAUUUUUUGGCUAUUGUGUUUUUUCAACACUACUAUCUGAAUUUUGACAAUUCUCAUACUUGGAUAUGAAUCGAGAGACGGGAAGGAGGGCGAUGUUCUGCGAUCCGCAGCGAUUCAGCAGAUGAUCCCAUGGCCUCAGCAAAAAAGGCGAAAUUACGGAACUCAAUUUUUUUUCACCAAAGAUGCUCUACCCAAUUCUCGGCCUAUCACCCGUCUGGUGGCUCAUUUUAUACGCGAGUUUGCUCCUCAUGCUGUCCCCUUUCGUUCUCGUUAUUGCCAUUUUCCUCCCCAAUUUCCCUCUUUUACUUUUACGACGCAUGUGUUACAUACCGAUAGAAUCUAUAUAACGUAUUAAUGUAUUCUUGAUGAAAGUAUCAGAUCACUGGGUGUGAAAUGCAGACUACGUGUCUGUGUGGGUCAAGGUCGCAAAUGUGUUAAACUGGUGAAUGAUAUUGGAUAACAUUGUUGCAGAGACAUUUCUUCCUGCUUUUACCACGAUAAAUCGAACUUUGGAUCUGAACUGGAUUAAAUACAAAUCAAGAAUUGUAUCAAUAAUUAUUUCACGAUAGUGAAUACUAAGGAUACGAAUUUAUGUACUCUGUCAUUCUCACAAUUGGAAUAAAUGUAUUGUAUUGUUUU